This 554-nucleotide long non-coding RNA is filed under the name Chrysemys picta bellii (western painted turtle). RNAcentral's name for it is "lncRNA (ENSCPBG00000026415.1)". The record is from RNAcentral. Lineage: Eukaryota; Metazoa; Chordata; Testudines; Emydidae.
UUUUUGCUUGAUGCCUGGCUCUCUGCAGAAUAAGCCGCACAAGGAUUUUGAAAUUUGCUGCAAAAUCAUUUUGAAUCCACCGGAGCUUCAAUGAUGAAUCACCAAAGCUUUACCUCCCCGGGGGAAAACCUAAUCCCAAUGCACAGCUCAGGGGAAAAAAUGCUGCUGGACAGUGCAUGUGACAAAUGUCUUUGUUACAAUUAGGUGAAUGGGAUUCUUUAAACAUAAGAACCAGGACCGCAAGCGUAACUGCUGUGCCUCACCCCUCACGCCAGGUGUGGUUUGGGCUGCAGGGCAGAUUGUGGAUUCCGCAGCUUCUGUGGUGCACAUCCUCAGGAAGUCAUCCCUAUGCAACAGAUAAUAAUGACGUCAACGAGCAUGCUGUUCUGCCUUCCCUUUUAAACCCAUAUAUAGCUCUCUGGUGCCUGCCAGCUGUGACAGCUGCUUACUGUGUAGCGUUCUGUUUUGGGCCAGUCUUGUACAAUAGCUGACACAGUAAAGCCCUGAUCGGGGACCCAAUGCACUACCACAAUAAAUCUGUAAUCUAACUAACA